This is a long non-coding RNA of Hippocampus zosterae (dwarf seahorse), 3421 nucleotides long. RefSeq lists it as uncharacterized. The transcript has 2 exons. The record is from RefSeq and is a predicted model, not a curated record. Lineage: Eukaryota; Metazoa; Chordata; Actinopteri; Syngnathiformes; Syngnathidae.
UACAUUAAAUUGUGUAUAUGUUUCAGGUCUGUGUAUCAUCACUGGCCAGGCCUGCAAGACCUCCCCCAAGGAAAGGGGCCCCACUAAUGUGAAGCAUCUGAUGGUAAUCACAGCGAGACCACUUGAGUGACUUUGUUUACGCCGUCAGAUCAAAUCCCCGCCUUUGCGCAAGGACGUGCUACAAUGCUCUUGGGGUGAGGGGUGGGGAGGCGAUUGGGUGACACUGACAUAAUCUGAAAAGGCGGCCUUCAAGGGUCAAAGGGGUUUCGCCGCAAUAAAACAGCAGAAACACUUCUCCUUGUUCUUGUUCCUGUUGUUCUCAGUCCUGUCCUUCUUGAUCGUGUUCUUGCUCCUGGGCCUGAGGGGUGGGGAGGCGAUUGGGUGACACUGACAUAAUCUGAAAAGGCGGUCUUCAAGGGUCAAAGGGGUUUCGCCGCAAUAAAACAGCAGAAACACUUCUCCUUGUUCUUGUUCCUGUUGUUCUCAGUCCUGUCCUUCUUGAUCGUGUUCUUGCUCCUGGGCCUGAGGGGUGGGGAGGCGAUUGGGUGACACUGACAUAAUCUGAAAAGGCGGUCUUCAAGGGUCAAAGGUGUUUCGCCACACCGAAACAGCAGAAACACUUCUCCUUGUUCUUGUUCAUGUUCUCAGUCCUGUUCUUCUUGGUCGUGUUCUUGCUCCUGGGCCUGUUGUUUCUCGUUUGUUUUUGUAAAUUUUGCUGCUUCUUUUCUUACUCAUCCUCAAUAUUUUCUAGCUCUCGUUCCUCUUCUUAUUCUUUUUGCUGUUUCCACUCACGUUAUUCUCUUCUUUCUCUGCUUCUUUUUAUUCAUCCUGCUCCUAUUCUGGUUCUUUUGUUCUUUCUUUUCCUCUUGUUCAUGCUCCCGUUCUUCUUCUUGAUCUUAUUUCUGUUGGCUUUUUUUGUUCCCGUUCUUUGAGUCAUUCCUGUUCUUUUAUUUUUGUUCUCUUUCAUUCUCUCUCGCUCUUGUCCCUGUUCUCGUAGAUGUGCCUUGUCCUGUUCUAAUUAUUCUAUUUCUCUUCUUUAGUUCUUGUUCCUGUUGGCCUUCCUCAUUCUUGAUACUGUUCCUGUUCGUUGGCCCUUGUUCUUGGUGUGGUGGUGUUAUGUCAAAUGUUAGUCUUGGUUCUUCGAAAGCCAUUUAUCGAAUAAACACAGUCAUUCAAGUGCAAUCAAUCUGGAGUAGAACCAGCAGCAGAACAGAGCCAGCUGGAACCAGCUGGGACUCGGGCCGCCUUCGCCGAGUUGAAUCCAGAAACCUGCAAAAUGUCAAGGGUUUUUUUUUUUUUUUUAAUGAGUAGAAGCUUUACAGCUGCUCUCGUGUGCCCAAACCCUACAGGAGACUCAGACACAGAACCGACUUCGGACCGGGCCCACGCCAAAGUGUCAUCUGGAAAACAGAUGUGGUCUUGGCCAUUUCGUGCAUAUCGAAUCUGAUACAGAGUGCCACAUUUUCAUCUUGUUACUGAAAGGAAAAGUGAUUUACACUACACUGACACACACUGAAGUCCUACUGCGCCUUGGCCCGUUUCCGAUGCUUAUGGACUUACAAUGGCCAUUGAAGUCAGCUCAACUUCACACAAGAGUCAAGACAUGGCAGGCCAACCAGACCCGACUCAGCUUGGCAAUAAAUACGACCAUUAUUCUUGACCUACUCAUUUAACACAACGUCCAAUCUAUCACGAUGACAUCUUAAGUAUUAUUAUGAUUACAUUAUAAUUAAUCAUACAUUAUUACUAUGACUACAUGAUGAGUAUGGAUACACUGCUCUUAUAGGAAUACACUACAAAAAUGUUCCUGUAGAGUGAAAAUAAAUUUGACACACCACAGUCAUUAACAACCUUGUCAUAAAAUGAGCCUUCAUAAUCAUAAAACAUCAAGUCACUUUCUUCGCUCUAAGACGUGGGGCCUUGUCACUGACUGUAUGACAACAAGGCACUCUAAAGCAGCCACAGCAGAGCAAAAUCGAUGUCCAAACAACUGCAGGCACGUAAAAAAAUAAUUACUAAUUACCUCGGCCUGCCAUCUUGUCGCCUUGACAUGCAAGCACUCACUCCCGACAACGAGGCACUCUAAAGUGACAGCCCCACCUCGAGGCCCCGUUCUACACGCUACCUGUAAACGUCGACUUCUAGUUUUGAUUCUCAAAGCGUGGGAUGCGAGCUCCCUCGAGUGGUACCGCCUAAGUACAGUUCAGUUGUAUUUAACUUUUUAGUGCAGUGUAUUUGCAUGUAGUCUUUAAGAACUGUUAGUUUAUGAACUUGUAGUUGGGAAUCAUUUUUAUUUCACUUUUAUGUGCAGUACUGGAAGCGAAUCAUUAUUUUAGUAAAGCUCGACACACCAUUUAUAAAUGACGGUUCGUUUUUUCCAAAAGUUUUUUUUUUAAUUGUUUUUUGUCUUUAUUUCCUGAUUGAUGAAUUUGGUGAACUAAAGUUUAUUCCUAAUCUAAAUCACUGUGGAUCUGACUAAUGGCUGCUAACGAAAAUGUUGGUUGGUCGCUUAGCCAAGACGUGUCCACACACGUUUCUUCCUGCUCGGCCUGCUUUGCCUUAUUUGGUCAACGUCAACGCCAACAACGGCCACAUUCCUGCUGGGGCCUUCAGAACCUUCUCGAUAGAACAUCUCCAGGAAAUUCCUCUUCUUGGGUUUCGAGAGUGCAGGAAGCCGGACGGAAUUUGGCCAAAGAUAACCCAAAAAAUAAAAACAGCCUCAACAUGCCCCGCCCACUUUGAAUGGACACCAACUUCACUGUAUUUUUCUUUUUUUUUUUUCUAAGAUUAUAUUUAUGUUACGUUAUCGUUCUGAGAAGCUACAGAGUCAACUGCGACGUGAAAGCAAAGAGCAGGGUAACAAUCUUUAUUUUUUUGGUCGGAGCCUGGGAGGACUGUGAAAAUUAUAUAAAUGUAAAAUUGCAGAAUUUGUAUACAGUAUACCGGAGCCUAUCGCAACAGACUUUGGGUGAAAGACGGACGACAACCUGAACUGGUCGCCAGCCAGUGGCAGGGCACACGAUGAGCUGAGCAAACAUCCACAGAAAAAAGAAAAAAAACGAUAAAAAAAAAAAUUAUCCCUCGCGGGACGCCAUAACGCUUUUGUUUAUUUUAUAAAACAUGACGUCGCCCCCUAAUGCAUGGGAGGCACCUCCACAACAUUAUUAUUUUUGUUUUCACAAUUCAAUUAGUUUGAAGUCAUUAUCAAUUAUUUUGAUAGUUGUGAUUAGUUUUUAUUUGGUUCAUUGUCGUUUUGUUUGUUUGUUUUUUUGGUCACUGGGGGUAUUUGUCAGGUGCCAGAAGGUGACAAUAUAUUCUUAACAACUUAUUUUUUAAAAAGAUUAUUCCAUUAGAUGAACAACCAUUCACAAAUCGACCCAAAUAGUAGCACGUCCAAAAUAAAUAGACUUCAAAUGAACCC